UGAAGAGGAAACUUGCAGCCACACCAGCCCUUUAUGAAAUAGUUGGACAUGCCUGCUUUAAAGCCACUGUGCUCUUAUGUUCAGUUCAUAUUGAACUGGGGUCCUAUUUGUAAUGUUUGUGUCCCCUGGAUUUUCAGGGCAAAGGGCAAAUAGAUAAUUCUCCAGCUAAGCCAGACAGGAAAUCUGAUGAAAGAUGAAAAGUUUGCAGAGAUAUUUACUGCUCAAGAUUUCUGAAGUGGACUCAUUCCCUCUCGGUUGUGUGCAGCCAGCAAGUUCAACGUUGACUUAUGGUGGUUCACAACAAAGGAGAAGAAUAAAGUCAUCUGUAACUGAAGAAUCAUGGUCCCGUGUAUUUCCUGGAGGGAGUGACACAAAGGAAGGUUGAAAAGUGUUGAAAUGACCUUUAAAAAUAACCUUGUUUCAAUGUAUAAUGCAAUGCAUAGAUAAAUCAAUGUUGAUUUAAUUCUACAUUCUUUCAAUGCUGAUCAUAUAAUAGUUGAAUAAAGGUUGAGUCAUUGUCAGAAUUGA
Long non-coding RNA from Acanthopagrus latus (yellowfin seabream), 528 nucleotides. RefSeq lists it as uncharacterized. Lineage: Eukaryota; Metazoa; Chordata; Actinopteri; Spariformes; Sparidae. The transcript has 4 exons. The record is from RefSeq and is a predicted model, not a curated record.